GUAGGUGGCAAGCGUUGUCCGGAAUUAUUGGGCGUAAAGCGCGCGCAGGCGGUCCUUUAAGUCUGAUGUGAAAGCCCACGGCUCAACCGUGGAGGGUCAUUGGAAACUGGGGGACUUGAGUACAGAAGAGGAAAGCGGGAUUCCAAGUGUAGCGGUGAAAUGCGUAGAGAUUUGGAGGAACACCAGUGGCGAAGGCGGCUUUCUGGUCUGUAACUGACGCUGAGGCGCGAAAGCGUGGGGAGCAAACAGGAUUAGAUACCCUGGUAGUCCACGCCGUAAACGAUGAGUGCUAAGUGUUAGGGGGUUUCCCGCCCCCCUUAGUGCUGCAGCUAACGCAUUAAGCACUCCGCCUGGGGAGUACGGCCGCAAGGCUG
This 374-nucleotide ribosomal RNA is filed under the name uncultured organism. Its description in RNAcentral is "partial 16S ribosomal RNA". It matches the Rfam family "Bacterial small subunit ribosomal RNA", at positions 527 to 896 of the family's 1533-position model. The record is from RNAcentral.